Amphiprion ocellaris (clown anemonefish) is the source of this 1506-nucleotide long non-coding RNA. RefSeq lists it as uncharacterized. The transcript is spliced from 3 exons. The record is from RefSeq and is a predicted model, not a curated record. Lineage: Eukaryota; Metazoa; Chordata; Actinopteri; Pomacentridae.
GCAGGUUUAGUGAAAACUCUGAGUUUGUUAACCCUGAAAUGAGGGAAACUCAGAGUUUUCCGUUUCACAAAGGGAGGUAACUGAAACCAGAGACAGAGGGGUAACUCUAGCCUGUUUCACAAAGAGAGGUAACUGAAGCUCUCAGUCAGUUACCAUAGUAACAGACUCUAUGAAUCUAACCUGGUCAGGACCAGGUUUUUCUCAGUAAACCUCGAGUCUCUCAGUCUCCGCCUUCUUUCAGUCACACACUAUUUCAUUUCCUCAUUCAUUCAGUCAUCAGUUGAGUUUUGGCGAAGUCUAGUUCUGCCGUGUGUCAAAAUGACGUCCUUUUAUGAACGAUCCAGUGGAUGAAGGAGCAGAAUUACUGCACAGAGAAUUAAAUAUUCGUCAGGAGAUUGUUAUCAGACCGUGCAUAGAUGUUCUCACAUUUCUGGACAGUUAUCUUUUACAGCGGUACUGUUUCACGUCACAGUCCAUAAUCUACAUCCAACCUCAUCCAUCCUUACAUUUACAACAUGACCAACCACAGUCAUGCUCUCACAUCCCAGCAGAUAUUGUGUGUUGUGCUGCGGUUCUUUGCAAAUGGGAGUUUUUUAUAUAAUGUCAGAGAUGCAGAGCACUUCAGUAAGACAACUGUAUGCAGGACGGUCAGAAAAGUGUGUCUGGAUCUGAAACGACUUUUACCAUCUUUGUGGUUUUCCCUGGACAUAAACCUGUCAGAGUCAUCAAGGAGGAGUUCCACAGGAUUGCAGGUGAAUGAUGUAGAGAUCUGUUAAAUUAAUUUUAAAUCAUAUCCAGUUAAUGACAUUGUGCUGCAACCUCAGACUGGGAUUAGUAACUUUAAUUUCUUUUAGGAUUUCUCAGUGUGAUUAGCUGCAUAGAUGGCACACACAUCCCCAUCACAGCUCCCUCACAUAAUGAAGCUGAUUAUGUGAACAGGAAGUCCAUUCACAGUAUAAAUGUGCAGAUCAUAUGUGAUGCUGCAUACAUCAUUUCUAAUGUGGAGGCCAAGUGGUCUGGAUCUGUUCAUGACUGGAGGAUUUAUCAUGAGUCUAACCUGAGCAACAGACUGCAACGUGGAGAGUUUGAUGGUCUUCUGCUGGGUGACAGGGGUUACCAUGCCAACCCAGGCUGAUGACCUCAUACCCUGACCCUGAACCAGGCCCCCAACAGAACUUCAACCAGGUUCACUGCAGGAUGAGAGCCUGGGUGGAGAUGACCAUAGACCUGCUGAAAGCCUGUUUCCAGUGUCUACAUCACCUCAGGGUGACUCCUGAGAGGCCUGUGAUAUUAUUGUGGCGUGUGUUGUUCUUCAUAAUAUUACCACUAUUAGAGGAGAGCAACACUCUGCCCUACAAACUGAAGACCCAGAUGAUGACCUCAUCCACCUGCCAGCUAUCCAGGACAGCAGAGCAGUCAGAGACACCAUAUGCAAUAAUCACUGCAGAGUUUAAGUCUCCAUCAUCACCACCACAGCAGUCAAAUAAACACAUGACAUACAUUUCA